RNAcentral lists this ribosomal RNA (253 nucleotides) under uncultured bacterium. RNAcentral describes it as "partial 16S ribosomal RNA". It matches the Rfam family "Bacterial small subunit ribosomal RNA", at positions 524 to 776 of the family's 1533-position model. The record is from RNAcentral.
UACGAAGGGUGCUAGCGUUGUUCGGAAUCACUGGGCGUAAAGCGCGCGUAGGCGGCGAUGCAAGUCAGAGGUGAAAUCCCCAGGCUCAACCUGGGAAUUGCCUUUGAAACUGCAUUGCUUGAGUGUCGGAGGGGAUAGCGGAAUUGCUAAUGUAGAGGUGAAAUUCGUAGAUAUUAGCAGGAACACCGGUGGCGAAGGCGGCUAUCUGGACGACAACUGACGCUGAGGCGCGAAAGUGUGGGGAUCAAACAGG